This 301-nucleotide ribosomal RNA is filed under the name uncultured bacterium. Its description in RNAcentral is "partial 16S ribosomal RNA". It matches the Rfam family "Bacterial small subunit ribosomal RNA", at positions 509 to 807 of the family's 1533-position model. The record is from RNAcentral.
CAGCCGCCGCGGGAACACGAAGGGGGCUAGCGUUGUUCGGAAUCACUGGGCGUAAAGGGUGCGUAGGCGGAUUCUUAAGUCAGGGGUGAAAUCCCGAGGCUCAACCUCGGAACUGCCUUUGAUACUGGGGAUCUUGAGUCCGGAAGAGGUGAGUGGAACUGCGAGUGUAGAGGUGAAAUUCGUAGAUAUUCGCAAGAACACCGGUGGCGAAGGCGGCUCACUGGUCCGGAACUGACGCUGAGGCACGGCAGCGUGGGGAGCAAACAGGAUUAGAUACCCCGGUAGUCCCUGUCUCUUAUAC